Molecule: ribosomal RNA, 164 nt
Filed under: Ceratostema lanigerum
Lineage: Eukaryota; Viridiplantae; Streptophyta; Magnoliopsida; Ericales; Ericaceae
Also listed under: 1 other name
Description: 5.8S ribosomal RNA
Rfam family: 5.8S ribosomal RNA (bases 1-123)
About the family: 5.8S ribosomal RNA (5.8S rRNA) is a component of the large subunit of the eukaryotic ribosome.
Source: RNAcentral
CGAUGAAGAACGUAGCGAAAUGCGAUACUUGGUGUGAAUUGCAGAAUCCCGUGAACCAUCGAGUCUUUGAACGCAAGUUGCGCCUGAAGCCAUUAGGUUGAAGGCACGUCUGCCUGGGCGUCACGCAUUGCGUCACCCACUCCCCUCGUGUCCCAAGUGGGCAC